UGAUACCCUGGUAGUCCACGCUGUAAACGAUGUCGACUUGGAGGUUGUGCCCUUGAGGCGUGGCUUCCGGAGCUAACGCGUUAAGUCGACCGCCUGGGGAGUACGGCCGCAAGGUUAAAACUCAAAUGAAUUGACGGGGGCCCGCACAAGCGGUGGAGCAUGUGGUUUAAUUCGAUGCAACGCGAAGAACCUUACCUACUCUUGACAUCCACGGAAUUCGCCAGAGAUGGCUUAGUGCCUUCGGGAACCGUGAGACAGGUGCUGCAUGGCUGUCGUCAGCUCGUGUUGUGAAAUGUUGGGUUAAGUCCCGCAACGAGCGCAACCCUUAUCCUUUGUUGCCAGCACGUAAUGGUGGGAACUCAAAGGAGACUGCCGGUGAUAAACCGGAGGAAGGUGGGGAUGACGUCAAGUCAUCAUGGCCCUUACGAGUAGGGCUACACACGUGCUACAAUGGCAUAUACAAAGAGAAGCGAACUCGCGAGAGCAAGCGGACCUCAUAAAGUAUGUCGUAGUCCGGAUUGGAGUCUGCAACUCGACUCCAUGAAGUCGGAAUCGCUAGUAAUCGUAGAUCAGAAUGCUACGGUGAAUACGUUCCCGGGCCUUGUACACACCGCCCGUCACACCAUGGGAGUGGGUUGCAAAAGAAGUAGGUAGCUUAACC
Molecule: ribosomal RNA, 661 nt
Filed under: bacterium LB-9
Lineage: Bacteria
Description: bacterial SSU rRNA
Rfam family: Bacterial small subunit ribosomal RNA
Source: RNAcentral